GUAUAGUAGUGCGUGUGCACAACAGUAAUUUCAUUACAUUCGAGUGUGUGUAAAAUCCUCUGCCGGCCGAAGCUAGCAAGAGGCCAAAGGUUCACAGGGUAUUGGAUGAAAGUCACCAGCGUGCACUUGCCAAAGCCGAAGCCAGGCCAGCACUGAAGGCAACGAUUCGCAAUCAAUAAUGAUCCUUCCGCAGGUUCACCUACGGAAA
This 208-nucleotide unclassified non-coding RNA is filed under the name uncultured fungus. RNAcentral describes it as "sequence contains ITS1". Lineage: Eukaryota; Fungi. The record is from RNAcentral.